UGCACGCAGACUGCACGCAGACUGCACGCAAGCAAGCCGCGCGGUUCAUUUCUCAAGCUAAACGCAUUUAUCGGUGAUGCACCGAGGGAGAAAAUCAGAGCCCUCCGCCUCUCGCCGCCGACGUUGUACAGCCAUUGUCCUCGCGUACGCGUCGCCGUUGUGUCAGAGAAUGCCGUGGCGAGGUGCCGAGCAAGGGGCUGCGUCGGAGGGUUCGGAGUGGAAGGACAGGGAGUAGAGGGUUGCACGCCAUUCCUUCGACAUUACGUCAUACGUCGAUUCUCUGGGGAUUCCCACGGCGUCAACCCACGCCGAGAAACUUCGUCGACCGCAUUCAGCAGGAUACCAAGUUUUCUAUUUGCUUUCGUCUGACAAGAGUUCUCUGUUGGUUACCUAUUGGAAGAAGGAAGAGGUCGCGGUGUUUGUGUACGCGAAGAAAGUAGGUUUGUUGGUAGCGUGUAAUACGUACGAAGAAAAUGAAAGCUACGAGAUCGAUUCGCGUUGAACGGAAAAAUGGAAUGGAUCGAACGAACGAGUUGCACGCGUUCGACGCUGGCAAUCGUCGGAUAAGAGCCAUCCUCCCGUAAUCGUUUUUCCACGUUCCAACCGAAUCGUUGCUGGGUGAAGAAGUUUAAACAAAAAACAAAGCAGAGAGGGAGGAGACAGGGAAACUGUGAAAAAGGGAACAAAUAAUGGAAAUGGUGUCUCGCUUAGGGGUAAUCGUCGUCGCGUGCUCGCAGAGUAAAAAUGGGGCUGCCGCGGCUGAUUAAUCAUCGGCAAUCUCGCGAGAGCGCGUCGAAAGGACGCGGCCAUUAAAGGCAAACGACGAGAACUUCGUCACCGGUCGGCGUUCGACGAUCGUGUUCCGGGGUUGAACGAGUUAUUUUUUUCUCUCUCCCUUCGCGCGACGAUACGUGGCAGAAGGAGAAACAGAGACGAACGAGUAAUUUAAUUGAAAUUCCCCAACCGUGCCCUCACCAGCGGUGGCGCAGAAAUUGUGGAAAAAUCGAGUCAUACGAUCGCCGGGGCUGCGUGAAAAUGGAAUUACGGCGGAGAAACGAGGUUUGUCCGAUGAUGCAGGUGAACGCCGGUUUCACGAGGGAUCGAGCAGCCGAACGUACAAAGGGAUGAAAAAACAUAGACUCGUCGGUCCGCGGAAAGACCGAGGGUUUAUAGGGACAAAAUUUUUGUACGUUUAAAUUUCAGCGUAAAUUGGCCUUGCAAAAUUACUCUCAAUUACUCUACGCGAUACUCGCGAGUGCGAGAGCUCGUUCGAUCGCAACCAUCGUGCGUAUACAGAGCGUUCUGGCUGCCUGGCCUCGAGCAGCAAGCGCAACUCGACUGAAAGAUAUCCUAUCUACAGCGUACGUACGAGUUUGCCACACGUGUGUAUGUACAUAUGUGUAAACGCGUAUGCACGGUGUACAAAUUGGUCGGCGCACAAAUUGAUCGAUAAUCUGACCGGUAAUCGAGGAGUUUUCCGAAACGUUGCGUUGAUGGCUCGUACAGCCGGAAAUAUUAUAGUCGGGCGAAAUCAGCCUCGAAAUACCGACGGGACGGUGAUCAAGGGUCGACCACUUAUAGCGCAAUUUGUUUUAAUUAAAAAUCGUCCGUGCCUGCGGUACAAUGAAAUUCGCAUUAUACGCGACGAUGCACGGCGAUAUACGAAUUUCGUUAGCGAAAACGCAACGUGAGAUCGAUAGCGAUACUGUACCGAUAUCGCUGUAUGGUAUAGCGUCUGACGAGUCGAUGAGUCGCGAUAUUAAAUGUACUGGCUCGGUGUUAAUUAUGAAUCCAUGGGAGCACGCGAAUUGAACGAUCGUAUCGCAGCGGAGGCCUCAUUUCGAUAUGCACAUUUUAAUUAGCGCUUAACCGAAGAAAGGACGAUAUCUCGGUGGCGAGACAAACAGAAACACCGUAAUUCGAUUCGGAAGGUGCAAAUAUUUGAUAAGGUUGUAACGUUGUGUUACCAGAGGUUCGCCAGAGGCGUGGUAGCUUGUAGGCGGAAUCGGUGCAAUGAAGUGCAUAUAGACACUUCAUCACCGCGCAUCCGGAAUCGCCGGAGGUCAGUUACGCGAAAAUAUUCCCCGUUGUAACAUCGUGUUUCGGAAAACGGGAAGGCUGCCUUCGGUGCGGAAACACGCAAACUCCGCCUAUAGCCUGCUUGUUUCGCCCAUCUGAACCGUCUAUUUCGAGUUUACAGCGGCGGAAACCCGAAUCGAAACGGAGGUCAGUUACGAGAAAAUAUUGACUGAUCGCGCGUAAUGGCACACCCGAGCGCCAACAAUAGAAUCGUGCCUCUGCCUACGUGUACGUAGUUAUCGCGAUGCGAAGCACGCGUACCUGUACUCGUGCGUAUCCAUUCUCGUACCUAUGCCUAUGUACCUGUACAUACACGUAUACAUAUACGCAAAUUCACGCAUCCAUACAUCGAAACAUGCACGCGUUAUCGCGUACGAAUCGCGAGUAGAGUCGGCUAAGCGUAGAGACGCGCGGCCCGAUGUUAAAGCACGGACAUUUCCUGGUCCUCAUCAAUUGUCAUUAAACGACAUGAUUAUUGCGCGUGUUGACGAUUAUUGCGGCGAUAGGCCGUUACCGGAAUAUCCAGCGAAGCCCGCGGUCUCGUAAUGAUCGAUGCUCGAUACGUACUCAUCGAGUAUUUCGUUAAUGGUCGGGACAUUGUGUCGAGCGAUGUGCACGGCCUCGCGAAAAUGCCAAAAGCCCUCUCCCAUUCACCGUUAACGAGUCGUUUCGAGGAGAGCGCGUUUUAUCCAAAGAGUCCCUUUGGUUCCGUUUUCCACAUGAUGUCACGGCGGUUGUUAUCAGGGCGCGACCAUCGAUCAAUGACCCUGCCGAUAAAUCGCCAAUGCGAUAACAUCCAAUCGGAUUAUUUCGUGGUUCGCUGAUUAUUUGAAUUUUUCCACGUGAUUCUUGCACGACCACGCUGAUGACUUCGAUCGUUCAGGGAAAGAUCGUUUAACGCGCGAAACGAUCGUAUCGUCCGGUUAAUCGUUAGUCGGACGAGAGAUGAGUUUGCGUUAUCGAAACGAACGAACUGUAAGUCACGAAACGGAGCACCUGUACGUACGUCGAGUAUAUUAUCCGGCUACGAGAGCCUGUUCCCUUCGAUAGGUCCGAUGAUUCGCCGAAAAUAAUAGAUUUAUCAUCCCCAAUUGGCUUCUAGCAGUUUAUUUCAUGGGAAUCCAUGGACGAUGAACGCCCCCGCGCGAGCCCCUCGUAACGCAAUACGCUGAUAUACGCGCAAGGAUUUUCUCUAUGAUAUGCAACAUGCGGGACGUAAUUCAGUCGGUGCAAGUCAUCGGGAUCAUCUACGUAGGACUACGAUCGCCGCUAACGAUCCAUCAUUUACCGCGACAGCCACGAGUAUUAGGUUAAAGUGGCGGCGUGAUUCUGCUAAACGCGAUGCUAAACAGGUACCGCUUCUGUCGCGAACCUUUCCACCGUCAAGGAACGAUAUCGUCACGUAUCGAACUAUCAAUACGUACACGUUACUCGUCGAUAUCGAUAUCGACGUCGAUCGUAACGAGCGUGCACGCGUAGAGGACGUUAACCGUACGAGGAAACGUUAUGAAAAUUUGUACAAUGUGAUUUCUAGAGAUCCGGUAGUGCGAUAAAUAAAUGAAAAAAGUGAAUAUAUCCGAGGUAAAAAGGGGCGAGGUUAUAAAACAUCGGUGUAAAGAAUACGAAAUCGCGGCAUUUAUCUUCUAUUUUGCAGUAUGCUCGUAUCUCCAACCCCGUAACGAGGGGAUCCUCACUUGCAAAGACCGAUUUCGCCUUAUCUGUCCGGCUUAUCAGCUACAAGAAUAUUCACGCGAAUUUAUCGAUCUGUCCGCAGUCGUUUCGGCAUGGCUGGCGUUUUCUUUCUUUCUCUCUCUAAAGCGUUAGUUUUACGCUCGUCGUCCCCGAGAGACGCGAUAAGGAAAAAAAAAGGCGAGGGGAAGGAAGAAGGAGAAAGAAAGAGGAAAAAUAAGAAGACUCAAACUCGAAGUCGCGUUAUGAGCAUGAAUUUUUAUAUUGAGAUAUUAUCGCGCCGCUGCCGGGAAGGGAAAAUAAAAACGAAGUUUCGUUUCGCGACCAUAAUGACGUACGUUCGUGCGUAUCAUCGCCGAUUUCGUCGCUUCUUUUUCUUCCUUUCGUCGAGCUGAAUGUGCAAGCGUACCUUUAAGAAAGAACAAAAAAGAAAAAGAAACAGAAACUACACGAGAGAGUAACGACCGUUGAAAUCGAUCGUAAAAAUUUUCGUUCCUCGUGAAUUAAGUUUCUCCCCUCUUCUUAACGGUGGUUAGAGCCGUGUUACGCGAAACACGAUGCUUCGUUGGAUUACGCAACUCGUUUGGCAAGAAUAGACGACCCGCGUGUACGCUCCUACACGUAUAACACACACUGUCGGCAGAAUGCGAGACCACCUCUUUAUCAUGAUGAUAACCUGCGACGAUCGUCCGUAGGCCGCGAUGAAAACGUUUAAUCAUUGCUUCACGAUGGCUACUUCCUGCCUUAAUUGCCCGUUUGUUGACUUAAUUAAUUGUUUCUAGCGCAGGAGAAGUAAUUUCUGACGUACAAAAAUAGGCUACAUCGCGUGUAACGUAUUGCUGCGUUUUCCAGACAACGUUCCACGAAGCAUAGAGAUUUUAUAAUUACGUUUCUAUUUAAGCAAGCUUCAGUAAGAAUAUAAGUAGAAACGUGAUACAAACCUCUUCAAGACAUCAAAUUUAUUUAUAAAACUGGAGUAACUAUUGUUGGUGGUUUCUAGAACUUACUCUAGUUUUAUAAAUGAAUUACAAGUUUCUAAGAAUUUCUAGUUACGUUUCUUCUCAUUUUUACAUUUGCUUUAAGAUUCUGCAUAGACCAAGGAGUAAUCGAGUCGCUCUUAAAAUUAUUUUAACAACAAUCGUGAUUAGCCUUCAAAUAUGCAUAGCCUAUUAUUUACUUAACAAAAUAUAUUUCGCUUUUCCUAUUUAAAAGCUGAGGUGAUUAUUAAACGUGUCGGUUCGUUUAACAAAGAUACGAGUGAUAAAAUCGUAAUAUAGUCGAUAUAUUAAAAUCUCUAAUAUAAAUUGUUAAUUACUCUACUAUUGAACUGUCCGAGAGAGCACCUUCGUCUAUUUAUAACUACAGUUGUUGUCACGAAAAAUUCAAAUGUAACUUCGAUUGACGAUUAUAAAUAACGGCAAUAAUAUUUUGUCCGGAGUUUGUUUACUUUUGAACCUAGCAAACCAAAAAAACGUUGAUAUUCCAAGGCACAAUAAUAUGAGUCUGUCUCGACUCAAAUCUUCCGUUGACCGACGUGCCGCUACAAAGGCAUAUCGGAAUACUAGAGAUUAUUGAAUCAAGAUAGCAAAUAUGAUAGAUCCUGCUAUUGAAAUUUGAUGUAAUGAAAAAUGUUUGUUGGGUAGCACGGUAACUCGUGUUAUGUAAUAUAUAUGGUGGCGUAAACGUCAUGUACGGAGAUAGGGACGAAAAGUUUUCGAGGCAGCGUGGCCGAGCGGUCUAAGGCGCUGGUUUUAGGCACCAGUCCGUAAGGGCGUGGGUUCGAAUCCCACCGCUGUCAAUUCCUUUUUUUUUUUCGCUCUUACAAUUAACGAUAGUCGCCAAAGUGUAAGAUGCACACGCAAUCUCAUUUUUUUUUUUUUUCAUAAAUAUAUCCGAUAUCGUAAAAUUUAUGAAAUUCACUAACUACAAUUUUGUUAGAUCUAGGAAGAUAUGGGUAAUCGAUAAUUCAUGAUGUCGAUCCUUUAGGAGAGGAUCAUAACGAUAAGUAAUGCAAUUUUACAUUGUUAUGCCUCAGCGUAGCAUACUGAGUAUCUGUUAAAGCAAUGCACACAAUGCAAGUUAGUUUAAGCGUGAUAUGUAAUAACCGUGUAACAGUAUAGAGAGAAAUGAAUACUCUGUUAUUAGUAUUCAUGUCGCAAACAUUUGAGUGUUAAAUAUAAACUUGCAUGUAUUGUAAAAUAUAAUUUGCUAGUUCGAUAAAGCUAAAAAACUAAAAACGUCGUGUAAAUUCUAACUUAAGGGAAUAAGUUAGUAAAAUAUCGAAGAUAUAGUUCGUGUCUAUGGUUAAAAUGGUUAUGGUUAAAAAUUUUGGUUAAAAAAGUCCAAAAUUCAAAGGUCCCACCGAGAUUUGAACUCGGAUCGCUGGAUUCAGAGUCCAGAGUGAUAACCAUUACACCAUGAGACCUUCGAGAAGGGUUAAUAAAAAUAUAAACCAAAUGUGACCUUGAAAUUGUAGGUCAUUAUCAUAAAUACAGAAACGUCACUGAGACAAGGUCAAGAAUCGAUUCGAUCGUAAGGCAGCACUAAAAACUACAAGACUCUUACUGUAUAUCCAUCUUUCUUUAGAAACCAAAUUAAUAAACAAUUAAGUAAAUAAAAUCGUCAAAAUAUUUUAAGCACAGAUGAUCGAUGCAUGAUUCAAAACGCCAUGAUUGAAUCAAUUCACUAACGUGUAAAGAUAUCUUUCUCUAAAAACGACGAAAGAUGUAUUUAUACAUUUCGAUUAAAUCUUAAAACGUGUAUGUAAUUACGUUAAAUAGGAAUAAAAAUUGUUUCAACAAGA
This is a long non-coding RNA of Bombus huntii, 6571 nucleotides long. RefSeq lists it as uncharacterized. The record is from RefSeq and is a predicted model, not a curated record. The transcript is spliced from 2 exons. Lineage: Eukaryota; Metazoa; Arthropoda; Insecta; Hymenoptera; Apidae.